CUAGACAGUGGCGCACGGGUGAGUAACGCGUGGGGACCUACCUUUUAGUACGGAACAACAGUUGGAAACGACUGCUAAUACCGUAUGUGCCCUUAGGGGGAAAGAUUUAUCGCUAAGAGAUGGACCCGCGUUGGAUUAGGUAGUUGGUGGGGUAAUGGCCUACCAAGCCGACGAUCCAUAGCUGGUUUGAGAGGAUGAUCAGCCACACUGGGACUGAGACACGGCCCAGACUCC
RNAcentral lists this ribosomal RNA (234 nucleotides) under uncultured bacterium. RNAcentral describes it as "partial 16S ribosomal RNA". It matches the Rfam family "Bacterial small subunit ribosomal RNA", at positions 88 to 339 of the family's 1533-position model. The record is from RNAcentral.